Long non-coding RNA from Leucoraja erinaceus (little skate), 1686 nucleotides. RefSeq lists it as uncharacterized. The transcript has 3 exons. The record is from RefSeq and is a predicted model, not a curated record. Lineage: Eukaryota; Metazoa; Chordata; Chondrichthyes; Rajiformes; Rajidae.
GAUAGGCAGCUCCCUGGUCCAAUCACAGCGUUCGGUCCGGCGUGUUCCGCUUCCUCAUUGGACAGGUGGCCGGAGGGGGCGGGACGUUCGCGUCUGACUGGGAUCCUCGAGGCUGCCCGCGGUCAGGGGAGAAAAUCAUCAAAACCGGCCGUCAGCUUUAUUUCUGAGGGCUACCUCUGCCUGGGUGCUGACCUGAUGGGCUCCUUGUGAAGUACAUCACAGUAACACAAUGGUUCACAGUUCUGCCUCAGAGCCUGUGCAAGAAAGGCAGGGACCAUUCAAGUUGAGGGAGACUUCAGGCAAUCUUCCAAGGGAGAGUGGAUCAUCAACUUCCAGACAGACAGGAAGCAGCAUGUGAGGCUGGGAAAGCACAUCUCGGACCCGCAGACCUUCAGCAUAUGAGCACCGCAAGGCUGCAUACUCUCCCCUCUCCUUUACUCUGUCUACACCAACGGAUGCACCUCCACAGACUCCUCUGUCAAGCUUCUCAAGUUUGCGGAUGACACAAUCCUGAUUGGACUGAUCCGGGACGGGGAGGAAUCUGUCUACAGACAAGAAGUGACACAGCUGCCAUCCUGGUGUCUUCGUAACAACCUGGAGCUCAAUGCUCUUGAGACAGUGGAAUUGAAAGUAGACUUUAGUAGAGCUUCCCCUCCACUCUCCCCACUCACCAUCAACAACACCACAGUCAUAUCUGCUGAGUCCUUUAAGUUCCUUGGAAUCAUCAUCUCAAGGACCUUAAAUGGGAGGCCACCAUCGACUCCAUAGUCAAAAAGGCCCAACAGAGGAUGUACUUCCUGUGACAGCUGAAGAAACACAAUCUGCCACAGGCAAUGAUGGUCCAAUUCUAUACUGCCAUCGUAGAAUCUGUCCUCACCUCCAUCAUGGUCUAGUUUGGCUCAGCCAUGAAGCACGACAUCCGGAGGCUCCAGCGAAUUGUUCAAUCAGCUGAGAAGGUUGUUGGCUGCAACCUUUCACCCCAUUGACGAAGUGUACAUUGCAAGGGCCAGGAAGCGAGCGGGUAAGACCAUCUCUGACCCCUCUCAUCCUGGCCACUAACUCUUUGAAUCACUUCCCUCUGGAAGGCAAUACGGGACUGUCAAAGCCACCACAGCGCGACAAAAACAGCUUUUUUCCCACAAGCUCCACUCAAUAACCAGAAGUCUGAGCCUCUUUUUGCUCUGGUAUUUUAUUUCAUUCACAUGUUUAAACUAUAAUGUUUUAUUCUUAAUAUUGUAAUGUUUUAUGUUUUUAUCUUAAUGGUUUACUGUAUGUUGUGUUGUUACUUGUGAGCGGAGCACCAAGGCAAAUUCCUUGUUUCUGUACAUACUUGGCCAAUAAAUGUAUUCAUUCAUUCAUUGAACUUAUUUUUAUUGUUUAUUAUGGUAUCUACUGAGUACUAUGUUUACAUACCUGUUGUGCUAUUGCAAGUAAAAAUGUCAAUAAAAUACUCAUGACUCCAGCAACAUUUAAGGUCCUUGAGAAUCACCAACAGCAUUAACAGCAUGAAAUAUGGAGGUGGGCCUCACUGGCCAUCAAAGAUAUUUUGUGAGUGCAGCCAGCUGUUAGUGACAUACAGCCCCUGGAUUCUUCUGCUUUGUGCAUUGGUGCUGAAAUCUGCGCUUCCAGCAGAAGGUUCACUGGCAACUACUUUGGAACAACGAGCCUGAUUACAUGGGAGGUGGC